CUACCCUCAAGCUCCGGCUUGGUGUUGGAAGAUUUGGUUAUUUUUCCUUUUGGGAAACGGCCAAACUUCUGAAAUACAGCGGCGACAGUGCUUUCUGGCCGUCCCCUGCAAAGUAAAUUUAUACUGGCAGUUUUGGGAUCCAGGCAUGUGUUAGCCUCUAACAACCAAACUUUUCAAU
Molecule: unclassified non-coding RNA, 178 nt
Filed under: uncultured Falcocladium
Lineage: Eukaryota; Fungi; Ascomycota; Sordariomycetes; Falcocladiales
Description: sequence contains ITS2
Source: RNAcentral